Long non-coding RNA from Trematomus bernacchii (emerald rockcod), 1316 nucleotides. RefSeq lists it as uncharacterized. The transcript has 5 exons. The record is from RefSeq and is a predicted model, not a curated record. Lineage: Eukaryota; Metazoa; Chordata; Actinopteri; Perciformes; Nototheniidae.
AGUGAGACUAUUUAAUGGCAGCUCGCUCGCUGCUUCUGCACGCGCCUUCUGCUCUGUCAACAACACGGUCUCUAAACAUUUACUCUCCAAGCUCCCCAACACUUUAUCAGCGACGCUGAACCAGAAAGUAUACGACUGAAGAGGCACCAUGGUCUAUGAAAAUAUACAUGAGGCUUUUCUGAAGGUAAAAGAAGGACACUUUGUGACGGUCAAAAGGAACUCUAUAGCUGGACUGGUGCUGUGUGUUGUCGAACUUAAAGAAGAAGCACCUUCACUAGUGAAAAUAUGGACACGUGUAAGCGGAACGAAAAAUCUGAUUGCUUUUAGUUUCCCGAGUACAGAUGGCAACUAUUCCCCGAAGGUGAAAGAAAAAACGCUGCAGUUGGAGAAGAUUGCCGAUGUUUCUGAAAUCGAUGAACCUUAUUGGUUUGAGAAGGUUGACCUUCACGCCAACGAACAUUACGGCCUGCGGUCCGUCGUCAAUCCUCGUCAUUACCUCAGUAAAGAUGACACAAAAGAAACCACUGUUUUCUGCCUCCGUGAAGACAGUCAGGCAUGCGCUGAGCUCACAGAUGAAGCAUGAAGAAACCAACUACACCUUUGACAAUAUAACAGCAGACUUUCCUGCUGGGUUAGAUGGGUUUCUCGGCAACAAGCAGGGAGUGGAUUUGCUUAGAAAAUGUGUCCUUCCUUGGUGACUAUAUAUCUUAAACUUAACACUAUACUCUUGAUGAAGCUAUCCAACUAGUACAUGUUUAACUUUUUAAACAUGAAGCCCAAGUUUGAACAUUCUGUUAAAAAGCUUAAAGUCUCCCAGCCAAAGCUAUAUUUUCUCGCACUACUCAAUCUGUUUUCAAAGACUAUAAUUGUUCUCCACGUAAACUGGUCUUUUUGUGUGAAAUCCGUAGGAUUCAUUAUAAUAAUAUAUUAUAUAAUAAUGUUUUUAUUGUUGGUAUUUAAAUGCAAAGAAGGAAUCGAUUACUGUACGUAUAUGAAGGCUAUUGAUGAUCUUUUUCUUCACCAAAUGUUAUUUUGGACAACUCAAGCUUCAACCUAACUUCCCUGAAAAGACUGGUUAGCUUUUAGUUGAAGCAGCUUCAUGCUUUACCAGUAUUUAGAUAACACCUGCAACUGUGUAAUCCAUCCAAAGUAACAAUAAUUAAUGUUUGUCGCAUGCCUCUUUUAUGUCUUGUCCUGCUGGUUUUGGAAAGAAAAAGCUUUAUAUUUAAUUUUUUUUUUUUCUAUGUAAUAUUUAUACUAAUAGUGUAACCUGUAAAUGUGAAGACUUAUUUUAAUAAACUGUUGUAUAUCUUCAA